RNAcentral lists this transfer RNA (94 nucleotides) under Pseudomonadota bacterium. RNAcentral's name for it is "tRNA-Ser". It matches the Rfam family "tRNA". Rfam says of the family: Transfer RNA (tRNA) molecules are approximately 80 nucleotides in length. Their secondary structure includes four short double-helical elements and three loops (D, anti-codon, and T loops). RNAcentral also lists the same sequence under 3 other names. The record is from RNAcentral. Lineage: Bacteria; Pseudomonadati; Pseudomonadota.
GGAGGGGUGCCGGAGCGGCUGAACGGGGCGGUCUUGAAAACCGCUAGGGCCCCGCGCCGGGCCCGCGUGGGUUCGAAUCCCACCCCCUCCGCCA